UGUGUGUUGUGUGUGUUGUGUGUGUGUGUGUGUGGUGUGUGUGUGUGUGUGUCCGUACUCACUAACACGCACACACACACGCACACACAUAUAUAUAUACACAUAUAUGCUUAUACAUUAUAAUAUACAUAUAUGUAUAUAUAUACAUAUAUAUAUACAUAUACAUACACACAC
Molecule: non-coding RNA, 174 nt
Organism: Penaeus vannamei (Pacific white shrimp)
Lineage: Eukaryota; Metazoa; Arthropoda; Malacostraca; Decapoda; Penaeidae
Source: RefSeq, a predicted model, not a curated record